RNAcentral lists this ribosomal RNA (440 nucleotides) under uncultured bacterium. RNAcentral's name for it is "partial 16S ribosomal RNA". It matches the Rfam family "Bacterial small subunit ribosomal RNA", at positions 338 to 795 of the family's 1533-position model. The record is from RNAcentral.
CCUACGGGAGGCAGCAGUGGGGAAUAUUGCACAAUGGGGGAAACCCUGAUGCAACGAAGCCGCGUGAGUGAAGAAGUAUCUCGGUACGUAAAGCUCUAUCAGCAGGGAAGAAAAUGACGGUACCUGACUAAGAAGCUCCGGAUAACUACGUGCCAGCAGCCGCGGUAAUACGUAGGGGGCAAGCGUUAUCCGGAUUUACUGGGUGUAAAGGGAGCGUAGACGGCAGCACAAGUCUGGAGUGAAAUCCCGGGGCUUAACCCCGGAACUGCUUUGGAAACUGUGCGGCUGGAGUGCAGGAGGGGUAAGCGGAAUGCCUGGUGUAGCGGUGAAAUGCGUAGAUAUUAGGAGGAACACCGGUGGCGAAGGCGGCUUACUGGACUGUAACUGACGUUGAGGCUCGAAAGCGUGGGGAGCAAACAGGAUUAGAUACCCUGGUAGUC